GACGAACGCUGGCGGCGUGCUUAACACAUGCAAGUCGAACGAAGUGGCGAACGGGUGAGUAAUAAGUGGGUAACCUGCCCUCCUUUUUGGGAUAAGCCUUGGAAACGGGGUCUAAUUCCGAAUAAAGUGGGCUGGGCUCGCGGCCUAUCAGUUUGUUGGUGGGGUGAUGGCCUACCAAGGCGGUGACGGGUAGCCGGCCUGGGAGGGUGGCCGGCCACAUUGGGACUGGGAGACGGCCCAGACUCCGACGGGAGGCAGCAGGGGGGAAGAUUGCACAAUGGGGGAAACCCUGAUGCAGCAACGCCGCGUGCGGGAUGACGGCCUUCGGGUUGUAAACCGCUUUCAUCCAUGACGCGGUAGUGGAAGAAGAAGCACCGGCUAACUACGUGCCAGCAGCCGCGGUAAUAC
Molecule: ribosomal RNA, 408 nt
Filed under: uncultured bacterium
Lineage: Bacteria
Description: partial 16S ribosomal RNA
Rfam family: Bacterial small subunit ribosomal RNA
Source: RNAcentral